GAGUUUGAUCGUGGCUCAGAUUGAACGCUGGCGGCAUGCUUUACACAUGCAAGUCGAACGGGUGUAGCAAUACACUAGUGGCGAACGGGUGAGUAAUGCAUCGGAACGUACCGUGUAGUGGGGGAUAACCCGGCGAAAGUCGGAUUAAUACCGCAUGAGAUCUACGGAUGAAAGCAGGGGAUCGUAAGACCUUGCGCUAUAUGAGCGGCCGAUGUCGGAUUAGCUAGUUGGUGAGGUAAAGGCUCACCAAGGCAACGAUCCGUAGCGGGUCUGAGAGGAUGAUCCGCCACACUGGGACUGAGACACGGCCCAGACUCCUACGGGAGGCAGCAGUGGGGAAUUUUGGACAAUGGGGGCAACCCUGAUCCAGCCAUGCCGCGUGUGUGAAGAAGGCCUUCGGUU
RNAcentral lists this ribosomal RNA (402 nucleotides) under uncultured beta proteobacterium. RNAcentral's name for it is "bacterial SSU rRNA". It matches the Rfam family "Bacterial small subunit ribosomal RNA", at positions 9 to 423 of the family's 1533-position model. Lineage: Bacteria; Pseudomonadati; Pseudomonadota; Betaproteobacteria. The record is from RNAcentral.